RNAcentral lists this microRNA precursor (103 nucleotides) under Marmota monax (woodchuck). The record is from RNAcentral. Lineage: Eukaryota; Metazoa; Chordata; Mammalia; Rodentia; Sciuridae.
CGUGAAAUAGCUGGGUCAAAUGGUGGUUCUGUUUCAAGUUUUCUAAGUAAUCUCCAUAUUGCUUUCCACAUUGGUGACACCAAUUUGCAGUCCUACCAGCAAU